CUUUAAGUGGCGGACGGGUGAGUAACACGUGAGAAUUUACCUUUAGGAGGGGGAUAACAAUUGGAAACGAUUGCUAAUACCCCAUAUGCUUGAGAGUGAAAUAGAUUUAUCUGCCUAGAGAAAAGCUCGCGGCUGAUUAGCUAGUUGGUAGGGUAAUGGCCUACCAAGGCGACGAUCAGUAUCUGGUUUGAGAGGACGAUCAGACACACUGGAACUGAGACACGGUCCAG
Molecule: ribosomal RNA, 230 nt
Filed under: uncultured bacterium
Lineage: Bacteria
Description: partial 16S ribosomal RNA
Rfam family: Bacterial small subunit ribosomal RNA
Source: RNAcentral